AAACUCUACAAUGCAGGCAACUGCGAUAGGGGAACAUCGAGUGGCGUCCAUAUUGGAUGUCUGUCCCCCAGCCUAAAAAGCUGGGGUUAGCAAGGGCCGGGCAAGACCGGUGCCAGCCGCCGCGGUAAUACCGGCGGCUCGAGUGGUGGCCGAUAUUAUUGAGUCUAAAGGGUCCGUAGCCGGCUUUGCAAGUCUCUCGGGAAAUCCAGCGGCUUAACCGUUGGUCGUCCGGGGGGUACUGCAUUGCUUGGGACUGGGAGAGGUAGGAGGUACUCAGGGGGUAGGAGUGAAAUCCUGUAAUCCUUUGGGGACCACCGGUGGCGAAGGCGUCCUACCAGAACAGGUCCGACGGUGAGGGACGAAAGCUAGGGGCACGAACCGG
This 382-nucleotide ribosomal RNA is filed under the name uncultured archaeon. RNAcentral describes it as "bacterial SSU rRNA". It matches the Rfam family "Archaeal small subunit ribosomal RNA", at positions 345 to 727 of the family's 1478-position model. The record is from RNAcentral.